GACGAACGCUGGCGGCGUGCUUAACACAUGCAAGUCGAACGGUAAGGCCCUUCGGGUACGACGAGUGGCGAACGGGUGAGUAACACGUGGGUGAUCUGCCCUGCACUUCGGGAUAAGCCUGGGAAACUGGGUCUAAUACCGGAUAGGACUCCUGGCUUCAUGGUUGGGGGUGUAAAGCUUUUGCGGUGUGGGAUGGGCCCGCGGCCUAUCAGCUUGUUGGUGGGGUAAUGGCCUACCAAGGCGACGACGGGUAGCCGGCCUGAGAGGGUGACCGGCCACACUGGGACUGAGAUACGGCCCAGACUCCUACGGGAGGCAGCAGUGGGGAAUAUUGCACAAUGGGCGCAAGCCUGAUGCAGCGACGCCGCGUGAGGGAUGACGGCCUUC
This 387-nucleotide ribosomal RNA is filed under the name uncultured bacterium. RNAcentral describes it as "bacterial SSU rRNA". It matches the Rfam family "Bacterial small subunit ribosomal RNA", at positions 28 to 419 of the family's 1533-position model. The record is from RNAcentral.